This 253-nucleotide ribosomal RNA is filed under the name uncultured bacterium. RNAcentral's name for it is "partial 16S ribosomal RNA". It matches the Rfam family "Bacterial small subunit ribosomal RNA", at positions 524 to 776 of the family's 1533-position model. The record is from RNAcentral.
UACGUAGGAGGCGAGCGUUGUCCGGAUUUACUGGGCGUAAAGCGCGCGCAGGCGGCACUGUAAGUAAGGUGUGAAAUCUCCCUGCUCAACGGGGAGGGUGCAUUUUAGACUGCAGAGCUAGAGGACGGUAGAGGGGGGUGGAAUUGCUGGUGUAGCGGUGAAAUGCGUAGAGAUCAGCAGGAACACCCGUGGCGAAGGCGGCCCCCUGGGCCGAACCUGACGCUGAGGCGCGAAGGCUAGGGGAGCGAACGGG